This 340-nucleotide ribosomal RNA is filed under the name uncultured eukaryote. RNAcentral describes it as "partial 18S ribosomal RNA". It matches the Rfam family "Eukaryotic small subunit ribosomal RNA", at positions 1470 to 1796 of the family's 1831-position model. The record is from RNAcentral.
CCCUUAGAUGUUCGGGGCCGCACGCGCGCUACACUGAAGGACUCAGCGUGUCUCUCCCCCUAUCCCGAAAGGGAUGGGCAACCCGUUGAACCUCCUUCGUGCUAGGGAUUGGGGUUUGCAAUUAUCCCCCAUGAACGAGGAAUUCCCAGUAAGCGCGAGUCAUCAGCUCGCGUUGAUUACGUCCCUGCCCUUUGUACACACCGCCCGUCGCUACUACCGAUUGGAUGGUUUAGUGAGACCCUCGGAUCGGUCCCGACUCGGGGUGGGCUUCUGCCCCGGUCGUGGUUUCGCCGAGAAGACGGUCAAACUUGACUAUCUAGAGGUAGUAAAAGUCGUAACA